UUUUUUUUUUUUUUGUAUGGGAAUGGGUAUCUGUAUUUGAACACUAAAAAUCUUCAAAUCAACAAAUUUACAUCGGUAUAGGGCUCUCCAACCGGCGCCCCUCAUCCCAUAAAGAAGUAAAACUUAACCACACUUAUAACCGACGAAUUGUCGUCGCUGGAAGUCUCAAUUUCAUUAGAAAACAACAACAAAAUCUCAGUCUCACAAACUAACUGUAAAAACUAGACAGUGUCUUUACCCAACAGGGAACCUGCGAGAGUGCUCCUCAAGCCCCCAGUUUGGAAGUUGCAGCUUCCAACGCGUUAAAGCAUUAAACUUUAAGCAUUGUUGUCAGUGGAGAAAGGCCUUCACUUUAUAUGGCAGUUUGUUUCAGAAUCACUCUUCCUUCUUCUUUCUUCGGUAAUCUUUCCACUUCUGUAAUCUUUCAUAGAAAAACUUUACUUGAUUCAUUCUAGAACGCAUCACAAAAGCCCUUUUCUUUUCUUGAUAAUACCACCGUUCUUCUCAUCAAGGGUCAUCACUUCAAUUUUCAUCUCAGUUUUAAGGUAGACAAUCAGACAUAGCCUUUUCUUUUCUGGGUUCUUUCGCUUUUCUUGAUUAUGGGUAAAGUUUAGUUCUUUUAAGAAUUGUUGGUAUGUGAAAUGGUAAGAAAUUAAGGUGAAGUGCUUUGCUUCAAGUUUGCAUUGUGGGUUCAAGUUUCUGAUACCAAAGAAUUGGCAAGAUAUGAUUUUUAUCAUCUAUGGUGUGCUAAAUGCCUAUAUUACAGGGAUGCUUUGAAUCUGAUGGUUUCAUGCAUUGCAUUUUUGGGCUGUGAUCACCAAUUUCAGCAUCUUGGUUUCUUUUUCUGAGGGAAAUAGAAAUUAUUUUUCUUGUUAGAGCAGUAGCUGGUUUGUUAACUUUAUGUGUAUGUGUAGAUGGAAGACAGCAACAAGAGUAAAACAGGUGACAGCAUUUCUUGUGCCGGUAGCAAUAAGCCGAAGAAACCAGAUGUCCAUAAGAACGGUUAUAGUAAAGAUGUCAUGCCUGGGAGUGAACUUUGGACUGAGGGGCUUAUCUGUGCUUUUGAGUUCAUUCGGGGUCGAAAGAAAUCAAUUGGUUUGAAAUCUGGCUCAACAAUCCCAAGCAGACAACAUACAGAUGGUGGUGACCAUGAGAAGCUGCGGGUUCCUUCUAAAGGAGUUCAAGAGUCUUCUUUCCCAAUACAUGACAGGAACAAGUCCAUAAGUGGUGAUUACAAAUACAGCCCGACUCAUGAUGGUGAAAGAGUAACUGAUCACUGGGUGCCAAUUGGGUGGGUUAGAAUUUCAGAAAUCGUCCAAAAUGUGCAAGCUGAUGCCGGUUGGGAUCCUCAACAGUUUGGGAUUGAUGAUGAAGAUUUCACUGUUGCAGACUUAGCAGCUCCAUAUUGGGAGCGUCCAGUAGGGCCUGUCUGGUGGUGCCAUGUCUCUGCAAGUCAUCCUGCGGUUGAAGAUUGGCUCCGUAAUGCCCAGUGGCUACAUCCCGCUGUCAGUUUAGCUUUAAGAGAUGAAAGUCGACUGAUUAGUGAUAAAAUGAAACACCUAUUAUAUGAGGUAAAGUGCAUCUUACAUAAUAUGGAAUUGCUAUUUACUUGGAAGAAUCAGCUUUUAGGCCUCUUGUAAUAAGAAAGUAGACCUGGGAUUGAAUCGCCUUAACUACAGAUGGUGGCUUGUAGGAUUGUGCACCCCUAUUGCAAUUUGUGAUGUAUGGCCAUUGCAUAUAGAAUAUUCUAUACUUAGAAACUACCAAUAAUUUUAUGAACUGUUAGGAUGAUAAAUAGCUUUCUAAGCCAAUAAAAUGUGGUGGCUUGGGUUAAAGCCUGAGAGGUCUUAUAUCCGCACUAUUAGACUGCUAGGAAAGCCAAUAAGCUCUUUACUGAAAAUUUGCACAAAACAUCUUUGUCUCUUCUUUUGUAUCUUUUGUCCCUUUAUUUCAUGAUUCAUGACAUUUAGGAAAGUAAGGACUUCUAGUUGGUAUAUCUUUGAGUUUUGUAUACAUUGCUUGAUACUUGUGAAUCCUACGAGUGGAUCCACAGAGGUGAAGAGUAACAAAAUUGAGCCCUCCCAUAAAUGAGCUAUAUUUGUCAAUCUUGAGAAUGAAUUUGGCUUUCAUUCUUGUGUGAGCUCUUGUUUCCUUGUUUAUUGAUCAUGCUUUGUACUUCUAUUCAGGUCCCAGUUAGAGUUUCUGGGGGGUUGUUAUUUGAACUCUUGGGACAGUCAGUUGGUAAUCCAUUUGUUGAUGAGGAUGAUAUACCCGUUGUACUUCGUUCCUGGCAAGCACAAAACUUCCUUGUAACUGCUUUGCAUGUGAAAGGGCGUGUAUCAAAUAUAAAUGUGUUGGGCAUCACAGAAGUUCAGGUUGUGCUUAUUAAUAGCUUUGAUUCUAAACUAAACUAUGAUUUUAUUACUCGUGCAAUUUAUUAACUUAUUGUGAUGCCAUGUUUAUUCCAUUUUGUCUUUGCUCUGAUUAGGAACUUCUUUCCACUGGAGGCUAUAAUGUACCAAAAACAGUGCAUGAAGUCAUAGCACAUCUAACUAGCCGCCUUACUCGAUGGGAUGAUAGGUAAUGUUGAUAUUUAUUGAUUGUAUUUGUUUCAGCUUACAACACAUACUUUUUAAAAUGCUACAUCAAUUAUUUGUCUAGUCUCAUGAAUGCUAGUUUUUGUGUUCCAAUCAUAUGAAAUGCUUUCUUCUCUUUUCCCCUUUUCAUCUAUGCAUUCAAAAAUGCUGCAAUGAGUUUAUAUGGUAUUUGUGUAAAUGCUCCCCCAUGCACACAAAGACACAAUUACAGUUCAGUUCAUGCAAUAUGUUAAAGCAGACGUUUUGAUUGUUUAUGCUAUAGAUUUGGACAUUUUACAUCGUCUUUCAGCAGGGUUGAUUAGUUUGUUUUACAUGAAAGUUGGUUCAUUUAUCUCAGAAUAGAUUUUAGAGUAUUUUGAGUCCGUAUAUUCUAAUUUCCUUAUGUCUUUGAUGUGUUGGUUGUUUCAGGCUGUUCCGCAAAUCCAUAUUUGGUGCCGCAGAUGAGAUUGAAUUGAAGUUUAUGAACAGGUACUUCCUUAGAUAGUCCUCAUAAAGUGAUAUUAUCUCAUUAAGUAAUAAGUUGAUACCAUUUUGUCUAUGACUAAUAAAUGUUCUUUCCUCAAUGAAUAGGAGAAACCAUGAAGAUUUGAAUCUAUUCAGCAUAAUUCUCAACCAAGAAAUCAGAAAGUUAUCGAGACAGGUAUGUUACAUCUUUUUGCUAGUAAACCAUUAAAUAUGAGAAAUAGCCUGAUUUUUCAUUAGGAAAUGAAGAUUGAAUUUGAGUAUGAUAUCUGAGGUUAUCUGUUACAUGAUUUCUAAUUCUAUAAUAAGACCUACAGUGAAUGUUUAUGGUCUAAGAAUAUGUUUGGAUGUCAUUGAUUUCAACCUACUUGUACUAUAGUUUAACCCGUAUACUAUUUAUUUUGGACAAACUAACUUUUAGCAACUAUACAUUAUGUUAUAUCUGUUUAUCAGUGACCUCUUUUCUCUUGACUGUUGAAGUGGAAAAUCCAAGUCACAGUGAUAUUUAUUUAAAGAACAGUCACUAGUCACUUUUUUUAGUGUCCUUUAGAGUUAAAAUGUCAACAAAAUUGAUUAAUUUCCUGAAAAAUCCAUUUCCAGGUCAUCAGAGUAAAGUGGUCACUUCAUGCAAGAGAGGAGAUUUUGUUUGAGCUUCUUGAACAUUUGAGAGGAAAUAUUACAAGAACCUUAUUAGAGAAAAUAAGAAAGAGCACAAGAGAAAUGAUUGAGGAGCAAGAAGCAGUUCGUGGCCGCUUAUUUACAAUUCAGGAUGUGAUGCAGAGCACUGUUCGUGCAUGGUUGCAGGUCUGUACGCAAACAAUAACGUGAAAUUUAAUGGAACUUUAUUUAUAUCUAAUUUUUAUUAACUGCUGAUUUUGUCCUCUUUUCAAUAUUAAUCCAGGACAGAAGCCUAAGAGUGACACAUAAUCUUGCUGUUUUUGGUGGUUGUGGCCUUGUGCUUUCCAUCAUCACCGGGCUUUUUGGAAUCAAUGUUGAUGGAAUGCCUGGAGCAAACAAUACACCAUAUGCAUUUGGCCUAUUUACAGGCAUACUCUUUUUUAUUGGAAUCGUGCUAAUUCUACUUGGGUUGCUUUACCUUGGGUUGAAAGAGCCUAUUGCCGAAGAGCAAGUCGAAGUUAGAAAAUUAGAGCUUCAAGAGUUGGUUCAGAUGUUUCAACACGAGGCAGAAACUCAUGCCCUGGUUCGUAAAAAUGUGUCUCGGAAUAAUUUACCGCCAACAUUGGGAGAUGCAUUCAGAGGUAACGCAAAUUAUAUCCUCAUCGAGUAGGUUACAGUGCCGAAAGCCUGGAAGUGCAUUUUGCACCAAGCUCUUGUCUUGAGAAUUUCUAGUUGAAAGGAAAUGUUGCAGGCUUCAUUUAGUGUAGUGGGGGCGUAUUGAGAAUGAUUCCUAGUGAUACGGUAACAAAAUAGAUGCAUAAUCGAAACUUGGUAUGUUGUUAAAUAGUCGUAUUUGUAAGUUUGAAUCUAAUGGAUUUGAGAUGUCAUUUUUCUGUUAGAUUUAACUUCUAACACUGUCCAAAUACUUUAAGAAUAAUGGAUUUUAGGUUUAACAUGCCUAAUUGCCUCUACCAAUAUGGGGUUAAAUAAAGAUGUGCUUUCCAAAAAAAACUGCAAUAAAAUCGGGAGUGUGGAACCAACAUAACUUGGCAUUAAACAUCUCGUAAUGGUGCCCAUGUAAUUAGUAAAUGGUAGAAACAUUCUCAAGUACCCAUGUGAUGAUCACAUUCAACUCAAAAACAUAUCUCUGUAUCUCAAAUCCAUAACUUGAAUUCUGAAGCUUUUACUUGAAUUGUUCUAAUGUGUAAAUCAUUCGAGUUCUGUAAGAGGAGAUGAAAGGAAGUGAUAAAUUCUUAUAGUAUGCAGUUUCGCGAAUGCGCUACUAUAAGCCAUUACACCUAAUGGAUAAGAAUAUAUUAGACUGAUGUUCUUUCCAUGCUUCUCCUGUCAUCCACUCACUUGAGAAGAGAUCUGGCAAAAUGUUCGCGUGCAGUAGCAAGUGCUUGGCCUAUUGUCUGCAAAUAGAAGAAGAUAUAAAUCAAUAUACAAUAUGGUUGGUUCAGUCUAGUUGUUAACUUGAAUUGCUUUUCAUGUCUGAUUUAAAUUGAUGAAGAUCAUUGUUAUGGGGUUAGGUAAGGCAUACGAGAAUUGACAUACCUGCUCAGAUAAUGGAGCUCCAGAAUCAAUACUAUGACUCGCAACCUUACUUGCUAUAACAUUUGAAUCGGUCUCAAGAACAAUGCUGUGCAAAAAGAAAAGAACAUGUUAGUCCAGGUAGAAAUAGUAACCCUCUCCUGUAUAGAGGGUAUUAUUUGAAAAACAAAUAUGAAUACAACGAAAGGUAAACCACAAAACGUAACCAAGCUUAGGCAAGAAAAUACACUAUUAAACAACUUUCCACCAAAGAUACACUAUCAAACAACUUUCCACCAAAAAUACACCUCUAAGGAUAAGGUAAGAUCUCAAAAAUAUAGCACCGACGGCAAUCAACAAAUUCUUCAACUAGUGGCAUUCCCUUGAUAUUCAAAUCUCCCAUUUCAGUAUGAACUAAACAGCCACAGAUGAACCCCCCUGCCUACCAAACAGAAUAGCCAUUGCCCAAAACUAUACCCCAGCUAGUGGACUGGGAACAGCAAUCCCAAAUUGAGAUGCAAAACAUCCUAACAUGCACUACGCAUCAUUACCUUUGUUGUUAUAUCAUGCAAAAUCUUCAGUCUACUACUAAAAAUAAUGAGCUGAACCUUGGAAAUUUAAUUACCUGAAUUACACUACCAAACUUUAUUCACAUGAAGGUUUUAACUUAUAACUCACCCGCCAUCAACAAUUUCAUCAAGGCAUAGUAGAAUGAGGUCCAAAUUCUCAAGUGCUUCCUUUUUGUCCACAUUGCCUCUGCACAAAAGUAAGCCAAAAUGAGUAUCAAAAUCUGAUUACUUUAUAGUAUUGUCUACAAACAGAAGAGGUGAGAACAACCUGAGGAGAAUUCCAACUGCAUCAAAAAAUCCCUGAAGAACUGUGGCUAAAAUGAGCUCAUUUUCAUUAUCACCCCCAGUAACAAAAAAGUGAAGGUCUUGAACAAACUUGUAAACUACUAUGCUGUUCUCAAACAUCGCUAUCUCAGCUGCACUCGAAGAAAUUGUUACGAAUUAAAGAGUCAAAACAACAGAAUACCUCAUGCAAGGGAGUAGAAAUUUGCAAGAGCUAAACGAAAUUGACAACACUCAUAUUACAUAAAGAUAAAUAAUUAGAGCACAAAUUACCUUCUGUCCGUGCAUUUGUCUUUUGAGUUUUAGUGAAAACAGCUUUCUCAAAAGCUUCUUUUGCAUUAUUCGUUGGCCAGUCCUCUGAAUAAUACUUGACAGCUACACGUUUUCCUUCAGAAUCUAGGAGGAGGAUGUUCUUUACAGUAGGGCAUGACUCCUACAAAUAACAUCCAAUGAAGAGCUCAGAUAUUGCCAAAAGAUAAUAAGUUCAAUGCAGCAGUUAUUGUAGCAUUAUGAAUACUAGGAUAUACACCCUAGCCCCGUCCAAUUAAGGUCAGAUAUCUACUGAUUCAUGUUUAUCAUGGGCAAGCAAUUGCGUAUCACGCCUCCAAUAGUGUAAAAGCUUACAUUAUCUUAUUAUUUAACACAUUACUCUUCAAAGUUACAAGUCAACUAUCUCUUCCAUGUUAUCUCAAAUGCGAUACAACACCAAGUCCAACAAUGCUUCCAACAAGACCAGCCAAACAAGCAACAGAAUGGCAUAAUUUCGUGUUACCAGACACGAUUUCUAGCCUACGUUAGCAUACAGGAAAUAGAGAUAUUUUCAUAUCUAACACAGUGAACGCACAAAUUUUCUUUUGGGAAACCACAUCUGCCUUAUAUUGCAACCAAGAAACCCUACCUAACAAAUAUAUCCCCAUUACUGGCGCACCGUAAUCAUAUCCUAAUCAGCUUGCGCAAGCUUACUAGUUCCGUAUCAGCUCAAUUAUCAGAAAUUCAAUCAUAAUCCACUCAUAACACUACCUACAUUGUGCUCCACAUUCCUAUAACAUCAUCAAUCAAACCCAAAACAAGCAAACACCAAAACCUUACUACCUCAAUUGGCCAUGGCAGCUCAAAUUCCACCUAAACAUGUCAAAUUGAUCCCCUUUUUACCCUAAAUCACACUCCAUCACUGUCUCUCUUACAUUUCUCAGCAUCAAUUACAAUUCACAGCAACAAAACAAUCAAAGCUUGUGACUUUAUUAACAAAUUUCUUAGUUUCCGAUCAACAAUGCAUGCCUACACAAAUCUAUCUCCAAAAACUCGUAUUCCAAUUACGUCGUAGUUUCAGGAUCUGCAAGAUCCAGCUCAACCGACACUCGGAUCAAGAAGCUCACGGCAAACGUGGCACCAAACCCUAACCCUAGAAAUUACUACUUAUCAAAUCAACCAUAUAUAUAAGCAAAGAAAAAAAAAUUAGAGAAAAAAAAAAACUAACCAUUUUGAUCGGAGAAGCAGUUUUGAUUUUCUCAGAGAGACGAAGACGACGAACCCGAAAGUUUAUGUUUACAUGACACGUUUAUUAAUACCAAACCCACCACUCAAAUUUUGGUUAUUACUAAAGAGACCCCGAAAGUUUAUCUAUUUGUAUUUGGGACCACAAAGUUUGUGUUAAAUGGUUCUUGUUUUGCCAAUUUGCCCCACCGAUCUUGAGCUUAAAGAAAAUCCCAUAUUCAUGAGUCGAAUGUUACAGCUUCCAAUCCCAAAGGUGCCAUCUUUUUCUGUAAUUCAAUGUGAUUGUUAAUGGGUUUAGAUUUGGUUUUGGUAUUUGAGUUUGUUUUUGUGUUUGGUUUUUCAGGUAGCAGUAGUGUCAGUGUUUCAGAACCUGUUUGGAGCUCAUGGACGGUACUUUCCUGCAUGCCCUUUUAUUUGGUUUUGAUGUUUUGCUAUUGGGUUUAGCUAAUGUUUGAUCAGACCGGAUAAAAAUCUGAUCUUUUGAUUGUUUCUGCAUACCCUUUGUUUUACUGAUCUUCAUUCUGAUCAAUGUGAAUAGAAAGAGUAGAGUGGAAAGGAGUAUUGGGUUUAUUUGAUAGGUGUGCUACUUGUAAUGUGGUUGAUGCCGGAUUUGUGUUAUGAUGAUUACACUCUGUCUGUGAAUUGGGCUACCUAGUAUCUGUAUCGGCUGUAGUUGUAUUAUUGGGUGCAAAGUUUUCAAAACAUCCUUCAAUUUUAUAGUGAAAGAUUCUGUUUUUGUUUGGUUUAUUGACUGCUGACUGCAGUAUGCAUCCACUUUUCUUCUUUUAGAAUGCGUGGUUUUUGUAAUUUAGUACUCCGCUUCUUGAGUUUGUGAGAAUGAAUUCUGUACUUAAAAUACAGUUCCAGUAGCCGAGUAUAUGAGAUACUUCAGAACAAUGUCGGGGUGUCAUCCAGUAGAAACUCAGUUUCUGGAUUUAGAACUUUUUGCACUGGCCAAGGUGCGUCUAGACCUUUCAUUCAACUCGGAACUUCAAUUUAUAUACCAAAACUUUCCGAUUACUUUGAUAUAAUCCACUGAAAGCCAUGUUGAUGUCAUUGUUUCACACACAAUUGUUCGCGAAUUUCAGAUUCUAUAGCAUGGAAAGACUAAUCUUUCUACUAUGCAAUCACUAGUUCCUAAGAUGGAAAAGUUAAAUAAAGUCCCUGUUUUGAGAAAUUUGGUGAUCUAUCAGUUUGUCAACUUUGAGAUAUGCUUAAUCACGACCUUUAUCAUCAAACUUAAAAAUAUCAGUCCCGGUACUACUUUGGCAGUUAGGAGUAUAGGUCACCUACUGGUAGGUAAUGUCACUGCAAACCUUUUAGGAAUCUGUACUUUUCUCUCUGAUGCUAGUUAGUUAAAAAAAUAGAUGCCAUGAAUGUGUCUUAGUAUGUACAUUUGCAAUUCAGAUAUGUUUUUGAGUUGUUUUUGUUUUGUUUUUACUUGUGGGUUGAAUCUCUGUUCUUUCUUUCUCUGCUCCUUAAAAACUUUUCUGGCUUCCAAUAAUAUAGAGGCUCUUUUUCAUUAUAGGGAAGGAACCUACUGAUUGGUCUUUCUGACUCUAUGCUUAAUAUCAAAUUUUGUUAAUACUAGCAUUAUGAUUCUUCAUUGUAUAUCAAAUUUUAUUUCCGUAUCCAACGAUUUUCUGGCUUCAUUAGAUUUGUCAACAAAGAAGUGCGUGCCCUGCACCUCAAAGGAUAUGCGACCUAUGACUGAAGAAUCAGCAAGUAAUCUACUCCCGAAGGUUUGUGGUUCGCUGUAUUAUUAAUCACUUAAAGUAUAUGUGUUUCUUCUCUAAGGUAUGUAUUUGGCUUAGGUGGAUGGAUGGAAUUUGAUAAGUGAAAGUGGUUUGUUGAAACUGAAAAAGUCAUGGAGAGUUAAAUCCUUUACUAAAGGAUUGGAAAUGUUUAAGCUCGUAGCUGAUGUUGCCGAAGCGGAAGGUAUCUUAAGCCUCUUUUCUGAUUUCUAGAUCCCUGCAUAUAUAUAUAUAUAUACAAAGCUGUUCAGGUGCGGACGUCCACACCAAAGUUUUUGGUGCGGAUUUCUAUUUUUUGCACCACUUCCCGAUCGAAUUUCCUCGAAUUUCCUCAAAUUUCCUUCUAGACAUAUCUAGAUCAUCUCUGCAAAAUUUCAGCCAAUUUGGUGAUCGUUAAGGCCCUCAAACUUGCGUUUUUCUGUUAUAUACCUGAACCGGACAGAAUACAGGCCGUCGAUUUGUUUUUCGAUUUUGAGAGCCUUAACGAUCACCAAAUUGGCUGAAAUUUUGCAGAGAUGAUCUACACAAGAUGAUCUAGAUAUGUCUAGAAGGAAGUUUGAGGAAAUUCGAUCGGGAAGUGGUGCAAAAAUGGAAAUCCGCACCUGAUCAGCUGUGUAUAUAUAUAUAUAUAAUGAAUUUAAGCUGAAAUAGUUUAGAACAUAACUAAUCUGGAUUAGCAUCAUGAAUGUGUUUGUUGCAGGUCAUCAUCCAGACCUUCAUCUUGUUGGAUGGAAUAAUGUGACCAUUGAGAUAUGGACACAUGCAAUUGGUAAGGAGAUCCUAUGAAUGAAGUAACGUGAUGUAGUUGCACUUGUCUUUUGAUGAUAUUGUAUUGUUGUGCAUUAGAUUCUCUCUGAGAGUGUAGGUUUUCAUGUCUUCUAUAUUAUUAAUUUCAAUGUCCGUGUACCUUUCAUGUCCCGGACCAAUAAUUUGUCUGAGAUACAGCUUAUAAUCCUUAUAUAGAGUGAUUAUUCCUGAAGUUUUGACUGGUAAAUAGUCCGAUUAAUUCCUGAAUAAAUCUGACCUGCUGAUCGAAUACUUAAUUUGCUGUAAAUUUGCACCAAUUUCAAAAAUUUGCCAGCUGGAGAUUCAACUUACCAGAUUUUCUUCCAUACUGAUUUUGUAUAUUACGUUUACUGAAUGAUAAUAAUUCUUGAUAUGCAUUGUGCAGGUGGAUUGACAGAGAAUGACUUCAUACUUGCUGCUAAAAUCAAUGAACUUGAUAUGCAAAACCUGAUGAGGCGGAAAACUACUGAUUGAGCUGUGGGGAAAGCAUACCUAUGGAAACGGUUGAUAUCGUCACUUGUUCCUGAAAAGAAAAAUACGUAUAUCUUUUGGUGUAAAAUCAAGCAUCUGAGGAUGUACUGGUACAACAAGAAAUUCUUGCAAGUGUAUGAAGAUAUAUGAGAUUGCUGUUUCUUUUAUGCUUAAAGAUUGGCUAGAGUGAUAACUAACGAAAACUUCAUGAAUGACACUUAAAAAGGGCUGCAGCAAAAUCCUAUAUGGACAGAGAACAAAUUUAGCUAAGAAAUGAAAAUGCCAGCUUCAAAAGAAAAGGACAUGCAAAGAAUCACCAGGAAUACAAAUGCAUUAUACUCUACGAGCUAGUUCCAUCCAUGGUGCCACUCGACCCCUGUUUAAAAGCAACUGCCUUGUCCACAUCUGAGCCUUAAGACUAUACUGAGUAUACUCUUCACCAUCUUCACCUCCACUCUGCCACAGAAACUCAACACCAUAGUCCUUAGCAAGGUUUGCAAUCUCUUCCACACCACCAAUAUCACUGUCGACUUCAAGUUCUCCACACUUGCCAAGAUCCAAAACCUCAAGCUGUUUGCAGCCUUUCACUAGCGUGACGAGACUGUUCCCUUCAAAAUGACACUCCUCGAACCACAAGUACUUCAGAUUCGGCAAUGAUUCCACAAUAUUGCAGAUGUUUACCUUGUAAGCAUGAGCAAUUCUGAGACCUACAAAAUGCUUGCAGUGAAUACCAAUCUGCUUCAGGAUAUCGUCCAUAAUAGUUUCACGAGAAAAAACACCAACCCCCCUUGGAAACAACUCGUACAUCCUUUUCUUAUCCAAGUCAGCACGGAAUGUGCGAAUCUUCUUGAGGUUGCCACCCAAAUGCAAUUGCUCCAACAGCUUCCACUUCCCAAUCAGUUUCGCAAUAACCCUAGAAUGGUUAAAAAGUACUACAUCAUCUGGCAAGCUCAAAACCCUAAUCCCGGGACACGAACCCGAAACAUACCUCAAUGUUUCUUCAUUUAUAAAGCCAGGAAAUUUGAUCUCAACAACCUUCCCAUGACUCCGAGCCACUACCAUCCUCACAAAAGCAGUGAUGGAGAAACUAGUGUUCUUUUUAACUUGGCAUAAACCAACAAACUUGUAGUAAAAUGGCUCCAGACCAAGACUAUUGGGUUCGAGCAGUGGUAAAAACUCAGGGAAUGAGAGGGUUUGCCAGCACAAAGGAUCUAGGGUUGCUUCAUGCCAUGAUUUGCAGACAAAAGGGACACUCACAAGAAGUGAUUCCAUUCCGACUCUUCCAAACACAUUGAUUAAGCAGUCCAUCUCUAACUCCGCCCACUUUCUUCUUCCUGCAGUUUCUUUCAUUAUCUUACUUAGUGAUCGGAACUUCCGUUUUCUUCCCACGACGGGCGGUCCUCUCCGUCGAGCUGCUCUUUCUCCGAUGUUGGCCAUACUAAACCCUAAACGCUCAAAGAUAUAUAGAAGUAUAGCACCAAAAGAAAAAGAAAAAAAUAUAUAUAGAAGUAGGGAUCGAUAUAUAUAUACUGUAAUAUCGAUGAGUGAAGACAAUAGAAACUCACAUCAAUUAGGGUACUCACAUCCUAUUAUAUGAUUCUGUUAGGAUCAGAAUCUAUUUAUAAAAGGAAAACUAGGAAAUCAAAGGAAAAAAACUAAACAACAUUCAUAUCACUCGUUUAUAUCUAAUAAGAGAAGUUUACAGCCUUUAUAUAUCCUACAAAUCUAAAAUAACUACUCUAAUAACUACCAUACUUGGACCGAAUGGGCCUUGAGUUUACUACAACAAGUCUGGGCUAGGGGUCAUCAUUUGGCCCGCGGUCCUAAAAGCAUGUGGGCGGCCCGUCAGCCGGAAUGGCCAAAACCCGGUCCGACCCAUAGAAAAGUUCAUCUCGGCCCGGCCCAUAGGGCAUGAGACCGGGUUAGAAUGGAGGGUUCAAAGCCUCGGCCCGGCCCGUUACAUGCCCAUCAACGCCCGCCAAGCCUGACUCUAAAAAGCCCUCCCCAAAGCCCUAUCAAUUGUUUUAUAAAUAUUUUUAUGGAGUUAUUAGUUAAAUAUGUGAACUAAUUAAUGCAUUAAGUCAUAUUUUAUUUUGAUUUUUUAUUACAUUUAGUUCAACCAUUAACAAAUCUUAAACUUCCAUUAGCAAACACGUGCUCUUGUGGUCUGGAGCCGCUUGAUUCAGAUGAAUAAAGUUUAUUUAAGACCUUCAUGUAUAUCUCUGAUCCCAUAGAGAUGUUAUUAUGACCACAUUCAUAGGCUGCAUGUUCAGUUAUUCGGAAACUACCAAACUGACAAAGUAGUGGAGUUCAAUGAUAUCCAUUACAAGAGCAUAUCUCAUCGUAGUUGAUCCCAGUGCGUGUCAGUGAGAGACCUUAUACCAUAAGGUGAGUUUAAACUCUUGUUCUCACUACACUAUCUAACAAAGACAUAUUUGAUAGAGUUUAGUUUGCAGUGUCAGAGAUUUCACGCAUAUCUCUCUCAGCCUACUGGGUUCUUCAUCAUACCUUGUAGAUUUACCGACACAAAUCCAAUGGGCUAAUCAAUAGCAAGUAAAUCAUUAGAGCAAAGCAAAUCGGUAAAUUAGAUUUUUAUCAUGUAAAUAAGAUGUUUCUGUUAAUAUAUUCCCUCAGAUUCAUUAUAUCAUGUAAAUGUAUACUCUACGAAGUAGAUACAAAGUAGAGAUAUCUCAGAUUUAUCAUAUCAUGUAAAUGUGUUCUCCAUUAAGCAGACUAAGACACUAAUAAAGAUUAUGUUAUAGACUGAUAAUCAAAUCGCAAAAUCAUAUCAAGUAAAUGUGUUCUCUCUAUUAAGCACACCUUAAGAGAGAGGAUCCAUGAGCAAUGCUCCUCCAAGUGCUUAAGAGUUUAGAAGGAUGAGAGUAAUCUGCAUCACCAAUGUUACUGCCAAUAAAAUAUUUAUCAUAUGUCUAAUCUUUCCUUAUGUGGCGACAAUGACUUAUUUGUUCAAACCCUAUAUGGGCAAAACCACUGAACAGGGGCAACAACCGUAUUAGCACAAACCCACAAAGCAACAUUUCUUUACCUAUAAGAUAAACCAACGAGGCAGCAAUGGUUUUUUUUUUUGCAAUCUUUAUAGGAUAAACCGACGAGCCAACAAUGGCUUGUAAAUUUACAAUAUUUACAAUAUAACACGACAAAGGUAACAAUGAAAUUUUUUGCAAUCUUUACGUGAUAUAUUGACAAGGCAGCAAUAGAUAGUAAGCAAUCUUUAUAAGAUAAACCGAUAAAGCAACAAUGGCUUGUAAAUUUGUAAUCUUUACAAGAUAAACAGACAAGGCAGCAAAAUAAACCAUUUGUGUUGACCGAGGAGGCAACAAUUUCAGUUGUCUCCCCCAACAAUGCUUUAAUCUCAUAGGCAACAGUCAGGGACCGAUUCUCACAAGUCUUUUCAAAUCUUUCAUAUACCCUCAUUUCGAUGAGAUCAAAUGGCAGCCUUGUCACAAUUAAUUGUUACCUUGUAACAAUAAUUAAGGGACUGAUGAAAGAAGACACCCCCUAGAAUUUGAGGCAUGACAGCACGAAACCCAGUCAAAAAUGGUUCCUCAACCUCAAGAAAAGAAGGAGCACCAAUAUUUUGAAUUGAGAUUUCACGCAUGUCUCUCUAGAUUACUAGUUCUUCUUCAUACCUUGUAGAUUUACCGACACAAAUCCAAAGGGCCAAUCAAUAGCAAGUAAAUCAUUAAGGCAAGCAAAUCGGUAAAUCAAAUUUUUGUCAUGUAAAUCAGAUGUUUAUGUUACUGUAUUCCCUCAGAUUCAUUAUAUCAUGUAAAUGCAUUAUCUACGAAGUAGAUACAAAAUAGACACAUCUCAGAUUCAUCAUAUCAUGUAAAUGUGUUCCCAUUAAGCACACCUUAGGAGAGAGGAUCCAUAAGCAAUGCUCCUCCAAGUGCUUGAGAGUCUGCAUCACUGGUGUUACUGCCAGUACUGUUAGUAAAGUAUUUAUCAUAUGUCUAAAGGGGCAAAAACCGUAUCAGCACAAACCCACAAAGCAACAUUUCUCAACCUAUAAGAUAAACCAAAGAGGCAGCAAUGGCUUUUUUGCAAUCUUUAUAGGAUAAACCGACGAGGCAACAAUGGCAUGUAAAUUUGAAAUCUUUACAAGAUAAACCGACAGAGGCAACAAUAAUUAAGGGACUGAUGAAAGAAGAAACCACUCAGAAUUCGGGGCAGGACAACAUGAAACCCUAGUUAAAUAUGGUUCCUCAACCUCAAGAAAAGAGGGAGCACCAAUAUUUUGAUAUGAGAUUUCACGCAUGUAUCGCUCAGAUUCUUACUGGUUUCUUCUUCAUCAUAUUUAAAGGACUAAUCGAGAUCACAUCACAGGGACCAAUUGCCACUAAUCUUUUCAAAUCUUUCAUGCACGCUCAUUACGAUGGGAUCAAAUGGCAGCCUUAUCACAAGUAACUGUUACCAUGUAACAAUAAUUAAGGGACUAACAAAAGAAUAAACCCCUCAGAAUUCGGGGUAGGACAUCAUAAAACCCUAGUAAAAAAAGGUUCAUCAACCUCAAGAAAAGAAGGAGCACCAAUAUUUUGACAUGAGAUUUCAUAGAUGUCUCACUCAGAUUCUUACUGGUUUCUUCUUCAUCAUACUUAAAGGACUAAUCAAGAUCACAUCACAGAGACCAAUUGCCACUAAUCUUUUCAAAUCUUUCAUAUACGCUCAUUUCGAUGAGAUCAAAUGGCAGCUUUAUCACAAGUGAUUGUUACCAUGUAACAAUAAUUAAGGGACUGAUGAAAGAAUAAACACCUCAGAAUUCAGGGUAGGAUAGCAUGAAACCCUAGUCAAAAAUGGUUCAUCAACCUCAAGAAAGGAGGGAGCACCAAUAUUUUGACAUGAGAUUUCAUGCAUGUCUCGCUCAAAUUCUUACUGGUUUCUUCUUCAUCAUACCCAAAGGACUAAUCAAGAUCACAUCACAGGGACCAAUUGCCCCUAAUCUUUUCAAAUCUUUCAUGUACGCUCAAUUUGAUAGGAUCAAAUGGCAGCCUUAUCACAAGUAAUUGUUACUAUGUCACAAUAAUUAAGGGACUGAUGAAAGAAGAAACCCCUCAGAAUUCGGGGCAGGACAUCAUGAAACCCUAGUAAAAAAUGGUUCAUCAACCUCAAGAAAAGAGGAAGCUCCAAUAUUUUAACAUGAGAUUUCACGCAUGUCUUGCCCACAUUCUUACUAGUUUCUUCUUCAUCAUACCCAAGGGACUAAUCGAGAUCACAUCACAUGGACCAAUUACCGCUAAUCUUUUCAAAUCUCUCAUGUACGCUCAUUUCAAUGGAAUCAAAUGGCAGUUUAUCACAAGUAAUUGUUACCAUGUAACAAUAAUUACGGGACUGACGAAAGAAUAAACCCCUCAGAAUUCGGGGUAGGACAUGAUAAAACCCUAGUAAAAAAUGGUUCAUCAACCUCAAGAAAAGAGGGAGCACCAAUAUUUUGACAUGAGAUUUCAUAGAUGUCUCGCUCAGAUUCUUACUAGUUUCUUCUUCAUCACACUUAGAGGAUUAAUCAUGAUCACAUCACAGGGAAGAAUUGCCACUCAUCUUUUCAAAUCUUUCGUGUACCCUCAAUUUGAUAGGAUCAAAUGGCAGCCGUAUCAUAAGUAAUUGUUACCAUGUCACAAUAACUAAGGGACUAUGAAAGAAGAAACCCCUCGGAAUUCAGGGCAGGACAAUUUGAAAGCCUAGUCAAAAAUGGUUCCUCAACCUCAAGAAAAGUGGGAGCACCAAUAUUAAUUUUGACAUGAGAUUUCAAGCAUGUCUCGCUCAAAUUCUUACUAGUUUUUUCUUCAUCAUACCCAAGGGACUAACCCGAGAUCACAUCACAUGGACCCAUUGCCACUAAUCUUUUGUGUACCCUUAAUUUGACAUGAGAUUUCAUAGAUGUCUCGCUCAGAUUCUUACUAGUUUCUUCUUCAUCACACUUAGAGGACUAAUCAUGAUCACAUCACAGGGACCAAUUGCCACUCAUCUUUUCAAAUCUUUCGUGUACCCUCAAUUUGAUAGGAUCAAAUGGCAACCUUAUCAUAAGUAAUUGUUACCAUGUAACAAUAAUUAAGGGACUGACGAAAGAAUAAACCCCUCAGAAUUCGAUACACGACAUCAUAGAACCCUAGUCAAAAAUGGUUUAUCAACCUCAAGAAAAGAGGAAGCACCAAUAUUUUGACAUGAGAUUUCACGCUUGUCUCGCUCAGAUUCUUACUGGUUUCUUUUUCGUCAUACCCAAGGGACUAAUCGAGAUCACAUCACAGGGACCAAUUGCCACUAAUCUUUUCAAAUCUUUCAUGUACCCUCAAGUUGAUGGUAUCAAAUGGCAGCCUUAUCACAAGUGAUUGUUACCAUGUAAUAAUAAUUAAGGGACUGAUAAAAGAAGAAACCCCUUAGAAUUCAGGGCAGGACAGUCAUGAAACCCUAGUCAAAAAUGGUUCCUCAACCUCAAGAAAAGAGGGAGCACCAAUAUAUUUUGACAUGAGAUUUCAAGCAUGUCUCGCUCAGAUUCUUACUGGUUUCUUCUUCAUCAUACCCAAGGGACUAAUCGAGAUCACAUCACAGCGACCAAUUGCCACUAAUCUUUUCAAAUCUUUCAUGUACGCUCAUUUCGAUGAGAUCAAAUGGCAGCUUUAUCACAAAUAAUUGUUACCAUGUAACAAUAAUUAAGGGACUAAAGAAAGACGAAACCCCUCAAAAUUCGGGGUAGGACAUCAUGUAACCCUAGUAAAAAAUGGUUUAUCAACCUCAAGAAAAGAGGGAGCACCAAUAUUUUGACAUGAGAUUUCAUAGAUGUCUCGCUCAGAUUCUUAAUGGUUUCUUCAUCAUCAUACUUAAAGGACUAAUCAAGAUCACAUCACAGGACCAAUUGCCACUAAUCUUUUCAAAUCUUUCAUGUACCCUCAUUUCGAUGGGAUCAAAUGGCAGCUUUAUCAAAAGUAAUUGUUACUAUGUAACAAUAAUUAAGGAACUGAUGAAAGAAUAAACCCCUCAGAAUUCAGGGCAGGACAACAUGAAACCUUAGUCAAAAAUGGUUCCUCAACCUCAAGAAAAGAGGAAGCACCAAUAUUUUGACAUGAGAUUUCACGCAUGUCUCGCUCAGAUUCUUACUGGUUUCUUCUUCAUCAUACCCAAGGGACUAAUCGAGAUCACAUCACAUGGACCAAUUGCCACUAAUCUUUUCAAAUCUUUCAUAUACACUCAUUUCGAUAGGAUCAAAUGGCAGCCUUAUCACAAGUAAUUGUUACCAUGUGACAAUAAUUAAGGAACUGAUGAAAGAAGAAACCCCUCAGAAUUCGGUGUAGGACAUCAUGAAACCCUAGUCAAAAAUGGUUCAUCAACCUCAAAAAAAGAGGAAGCAACAAUAUUUUGACAUGAGAUUUAACGCAUGUUUCGCUCAGAUUCUUACUGAUUUCUUCUUUAUCAUACCCAAGGAUUAAAAUCUCUGCGAUAUAUCCUCCGAUAUCUCCCUUUUUCGAAGGACCGAUAUAUCUUUAGGGGUCAAUAUCUUAUCUUCCACCGUAUCUACGAUAUUUCCCCGAUAUUUAGGAAAUAUCUCCGACAUUUAUGAUAUUUUCGAUAUAUCACUGACAUAUUAAAAAAAUAUUUGUAAAAAAUUGAAAUGUUAUCCGGAAGAGAAGUANNNNNNNNNNNNNNNNNNNNGCAUGUCUCACUCAGAUUCUUACUGGUUUCUUCUUCAUCAUACCCAUGGGACUAAUCGAGAUCACAUCACGGGGACCAAUUGUCACUAAUCUUUUCAAAUCUCAGAUUCUUACUGGUUUCUUCUUCAUCAUACCCAAGGGACUAAUCGAGAUCACAUCACGGGGACCAAUUGCCACUAAUCUUUUCAAAUCUUUCAUGUACUCUCAUUUCGAUGGGAUCAAAUGGCAGCCUUAUCACACAUAAUUGUUACCAUGUAACAAUAAUUAAGGGAUUGAUGAAAGAAGAAACCCCUCAAAUUUCAAGGCAGGGCAACAUGAAACCCUAGUAAAAAAUGGUUCGUCAACCUCAAGAGAAGUGGGAGCACUAAUAUUAAUUUUGACAUGAGAUUUCAUGCAUGUCUCGCUCAAAUUCUUACUGGUUUCUUCUUCAUCAUACCCAAGGACUAAUCGAGAUCACAUAAGGGAUUGAUGAAAGAAGAAACCCCUCAGAAUUCAGGGCAUGACAACAUGAAACCCUAUUAAAAAAUGGUUCGUCAACCUCAAGAAAAGUGGGAGCACUAAUAUUAAUUUUGACAUGAGAUUUCAUGCAUGUCUCGCUCAGAUUAUUACUGGUUUCUUCUUCAUCAUACCCACGGGACUAAUCGAGAUCACAUCACAGGGACUAAUUGCCACUAAUCUUUUGAAAUCUUCCAUGUACCCUCAUUUCGAUGGGAUCAAAUGGCAGCCUUAUCACAAGUAAUUGUUACCAUGUAACAAUAAUUAAGGGACUGAUGAAAGAAGAAACCCCUCAGAAUUCGGGGUAGGACAUCAUGAAACCCUAGUCAAAAAUAGUUCAUCAACCUCAAGAAAAGAGAAAGCACCAAUAUUUUGAUAUGAGAUUUCACGCAUGUCUCGCUCAUAUUCUUACUGGUUUCUUCUUCAUCAUACUAUUAGCCAAAAAUCCACCAAGUAUAAGGGAUACAAGUAAUAGUAUAGGGAUUUAAGGAAGGUUGUCGAACCGACGAGGAUUGGAUUCUUUUCACUAGCUAGGGAGUUAACCUUAGGAGAGCUAGAAUGGGCAAAUGUAUAAUCACAAACCUAAACACACAAGAAAAUCUAGGCUCAUGGUGAGUAUGUGCAACAUGGAGUAGUGAUUUGAUUUUGGGUAUUUGAAGUAGUUAACUAAACUAAACUAGAUGCUCAAAUGUAAACUAAAUUACUCUAAACUAAACUAGCGGGAUAAUGGAUGAAUGAAGUUAGGAUUUGAAUUGUCUACCACUAACCUCCCUUGCAAGUAUUGAUGCAAAUCAAAAUGAAUGAUGCUAAGUUAAUCAACCAAUUUCUCUCCUUGCAUCCCUCGCGGGUAUGACAAGGGACAUGCUCUUUUUGUGGUAUCAAGCAACCCCUCUCGGGUAUAGUACUUAACUACUGUCAUGCAUUUCAAUCUUGUUAGGCAUCUAAUGCAUUACCUUAAGUGCAUAAAGUUUGGAGAUGAAGAAACUAUGCAAACCAACCAAGCUUAUCUUUAUCAAGCAACCCCUCUCGGGUGUAAUACUUAACUACUGUCAUGCAUUUCAAUCCGGUUAGGAAUCUAAUGCAUUACCCUAAGUGCAUAAAGUUUGGAGAUGAAGAAACUAUGCAAAUCAACCAAGCUUAUCUCUAAGUGAUUGUAAUUCACAACCCCUACAUACACACCUAAUGUGCUUUCAUGCUUUAACAUUCAAAGGUUACCAAGCUCUAAACAUCAUAUCAUAUCAUGACAAACACACAUACUCAAAGUGGUAAAUUCUAAGCAUAUGCAUUCAACUCUUGAACUAGCAUGUAGGAAUGUUAACUAAAAUUGCAUCAAAUCAUAAUAUAACAUCAAUCCAUACAAGAUUGGUUAGUGUUUUCAACCCUAACCCCAACAAAGUACUACUCACUCAUAAUUACAUAAACAAACUUCAUAAUCAAAUUAAACAUCAAAAUAGAUCUAGAGUUUAAGAGAGAGAGAGUUGGCUUAGUGGUGUGUUGAUUGAUCCCCAAGCUCACGUCUUGGUGGUACGUGGUGGUGAUGAAGGUGAUUUCCUCUCCUUCUUGCUCAUGUUGUUUGAUGACAAGAGAUGGUGAAGCUUGAUCUAUGCUUUGUGUGAAUAGGUGGAGUGGAUGGAGAAAAUGGUAUAGAUAAGAGAAUGGAGAAAUGGUGUAGUGGUGGUGGUGUUAAUGGAGGUUUGGGUAAGAGAUGGUGGUAGUGAUGGAGGAGAUAGAGUAGAUUGGGGGAGGAAGAGGAAAAAGAUGGGUUUGGAUUUUGGGAGAGGGAGAUGGAGGUUUUGUGGUGGAAAAGAGAGAAAAAGGUAGAGAGUGGUGAAUGGGUGGAUGAUGAAUGUUGUAGUGGAUAGAUGUAUGUUUAUUAUAUAGAAGAAAGAUAAGUGAAAAUGGGGGAAUGAGAAAGUCAAAACAGCCCCCUUCCCUAAUUCAACUGUAAGGGAGAAGGAAGAGUGUGAGAGUGUCCAUGAAUUGCCAAAAAAAAGAUAAAAAUGUAGGGAAAUAAUCGCAUAGGUUAGAGUAGGCAAUGAUGAUGUUUAAAGCAUGGUGAUGUCUAUUAUCCAAAGAGUAAUAGAAUGAAUUUCAUGUUGUUACUCAAUCACCAUUAAUCUCCUUGCUCCUCCUUUAUGGUGACUGGAAAAGACAUGACACCACCAAAAGAGGUGGUGAGCCGUCAUUUGUGCAGUCAAUAGUGGUGGUUCGCCGGAAUCCGAAAAUCUACGUUUUGCUUCACAUUGGACCGUCAUUUUUCCUAGCUCCGAUUCUCCAUGUUAAUGCCAAAAAUGCAUAUUUUCAUCACUCUUGCAAUAUUCCUAGAUAAAUAGAAAAUGAUUUAGUGAAAGAAAAAAUGAACUCAAAAACAAGGCAAAUUCAAUAUUUAGGGGAAUGAAAAUGUGUGUAAAUUAUGGUCUAACACAUACCCAAUGGACUAAUCGAGAUCACAUCACAGGGACCAAUUGCCACUAAUCUUUUCAAAUCUUUCAUGUACUCUCAUUUCGAUGGGAUCAAAUGGUAGCCUUAUCACAAGUAAUUGUUAUCAUGUAACAAUAAUUAAGAGACUGAAGAAAGAAUAAACCCCUCAGAAUUCAGGGCAGGACAGCAUGAAACCUUAGUCAAAAAUGGUUCCUCAACCUCAAGAAAAGAGGGAGCACCAAUAUUUUGACAUGAGUUUUCACGCAUAUCUCGCUCAGAUUCUUACUGGUUUCUUCUUCAUCAUAUUUAAAGGACUAAUCGAGAUCAAAUCACAGGGACCAAUUGCCACUAAUCUUUUCAAAUCUUUCAUGUACCCUCAUAUCUAUGGGAUCAAAUGGCAGCCUUAUCAAGUAAUUGUUACCAUGUAACAAUAAUUAAGGGAUUGAUGAAAGAAGAAACCCUCAGAAUUGGGCAGGACAACAUGAACCUUAGUCAAAAAUAGUUCCUCAACCUCAAGAAAAGAGGGAGCACCAAUAUUUUGACAUGAGAUUUCAGGCAUGUCUCGCUCAGAUUCUUACUGGUUUCUUCUUCAUCAUACCCAAGGGACUAAUCGAGAUCACAUCACACGAACCAGUUGCCACUAAUCUUUUCAAAUCUUUCAUGUACCCUCAUUUUGAUAGGAUCAAAUGGCAGUCUUAUCACAAGUAAUUGUUACCAUGUAACAAUAAUUAAAGGACUGAUGAAAGAAGCAAUUGUUACCAUGAAUGUUGUUUAGCAGUGUUUCUUGUGAUCGGAGAACCCCUCAGAAAAAUCUUAGGGGUUACUUGAAAGAAGAAAGAUAGAACUAAAAGAAGUAACCCCUUAGAAACCAUGAAAGUUAUGCAGGGUUACUUGUGAUCGAAACCGUAAAAAUCUUAGUGAUCAGAACUUCCGUUUUCUUCCCAUGACGGGCGGUCCUCUCCGGCGAGCUACUCUUUCUCCAAUGUUGGCCAUACUAAACCCUAAACGCUCAAAAAUAUAUAGAAGUAUAGCACCAAAAGAAAAAGAAAUAUAUAUUUUUUUUUUGGUCAAGAAAAGAAAAAUAUAUAUAGAGAAGUAGGGAUCAAUAUAUAUACUGUAAUAUCGAUGAGUAAAGACAAUAGAAACUCACAUCAAUUAGGGUUCUCACAUCCUAUUAUAUGAUUCUGUUAGGAUCAGAAUCCAUUUAUAAAAGGAAAACUAGGAAAUCAAAGGAAAUAAACUAAACAACAUUCAUAUCACUUAUCCAUAUCUAAUAAGAGAAGUUUACAGCCUUUAUAUAUCCUACAAAUCUAAAAUAACUACUCUAAUAACUACCCUAUUUGGACCGAAUGGGCCUUGAGUUUACUACAACAAGUCUGGGCUAGGGGUCAUCAUUUGGCCCGCGGGCCUAAAAGCCCGUGGGCAGCCCAUCGUCCGGAAUGGCCAAAGCUUGGCCGACCCAUAGAAAAGCCCAUCUCGGCCCGGCCCUUAGGGCAUAAGGCCGGGCUAGGGCGGAGGGUUCAAAACCUCGGCCCUGCCUGUUACAUGCCCAUCAAAGCCCGCCCGGCCUGACCCUAAAAAGCCCUUUCAAUUGUUUUAUAAAUAUUUUUAUGGAGUUAUUAGUUAAAUAUGUGAACUAAUUAAUGCAUUAAGUCAUAUUUUAUUUUGAUUUUUUAUUACAUUUAGUUUAAUCAUUAACAAAUCUUAACUUUUUUUUUAUAAUUUUUUUUUUAUUUGAUAAAAUUCUAUUAGAUAUAUGUAUAUAAUAGGCCGACCGGCCUGGCCUAUCUAAAAAGUCCGACUCGACCCAUCUAAAAAAGCCGGCCUGACCUGGCCUAUAAGCCUGUAAGGCCUGGACAUGCGGGUUUUGAUAAUUUUUUAAGUUAGUCCCAUCCUGGCUCGGCUCUAAUAAAAAAUAAAAUAAAUAAAUUAAAUAAAAAAAACAUAAUUGAGGCCCGACCCGAGCCCCUAGCCAGGCGGGCGUUUUUUGAUGAUCAGGCUAUGCCCAGUACAUAAAAAGGCUGUGAAAUACAUCACCUACGUACAUAUGUGAAAGAGGAAUACGAGUUAGUAUCCUAACAGAUUCAGUCACGUUCUCUUCAGUGGGAUUGAGUUGGGCAGUUCUAUCUCAAUUACAGGGAUUUUAACGUACCAAUUAUAUUUAAGGAAACAGAGAGAGUGGUUAAAAAGGGAGAAGGCCCAAGUCCAAGACCCUAGCCCAACUAGAUCCCAGCAGCCGCAAGAAUGGCCGAAAACUAAUCGGAAGAAAGUAGAAACUAAAUAUAUAGUAAUAAAUAAAUUUCCUUUCAGCAGAUGUGCCCUUAAUACUGGAGACAAAGAAAUUUACCGGCACUCUUUAUCAUUACACAAUUAACCAACUGAGAUAUAUAGCACAAAACAUGAAAACUACACGGUGGUCGACGGAUCCGAAAUCCCAUCAUGCAUGAACUUCACUAAUAGUUGAAGCUAGACUUGCUUGCUGUAGCACUCUUCUUAGUGUAGACAGACUUGGUGACCUUGAGCUGUGUUUUGUACUCGGUGGUGUAUCCCUGAGUUUUGUCGACAUACUUGUCUAUCGAGGUGUACUUGGCCUCUUGUUUGUAGCCGGACUGCCCACUGCGGUUGUCCACGAACUCUCCUUCCUUGUAACUUUUAGUGAAGUUACUUGAAGCCCCACAGUACUCGUCGUUGUACGAUGACUUCACCUGGCUUUGCAUUUCGUCGGCGUUGAUGUUUCUCGCCGGAGCAACAGUUAUGAAGCCGCAAUAAGCCUUUUUCGUCAUUCUGUAACUAUAUGAAGACGUGGGUUGUGAUCAUAUGCAAAGAGGGUCUUGUCUUUUAUAUGGUAACAAGUCGGAACAUGGAUAUUAACUAUGAUUUAUGAAGAUGUGGGAAUCAAGAACGUAUAUUGUGAGGAGAGGAGGGGUCUUUUAUCUGUUUGUUUUGAGAACAAAGGUGUAAAUGUCAUUAUCGGUUAUGGUGAAAGAGACCAUCCAACUUUCCCAGUUCUUCAGGUGAGAAAGGAGGGGAAGUUGUUUAACCAAUACUAAUACUAAUGCAUGUCAUACAAGUGUUGUUUUAAGGUUUUACAGUGCAAUGUUUUUUCGUAUACCUAUUUUCAGUUUGUCCUUUAAUGGACUCCUAAAUCUCAAGAAUAAUAAGUACCAUUUAUAGUGCAAACCUAAAGGCUAAAGCUAUGAUUUCUUUAAUUUUUUGAAAUCCUGAAAAAAGUGAAUUAUCAUACUGAACAUAUAUAAGUUCAAUUGUCUGAUAGGAAUUUGCUGCCAGCAGAUAAAGGUAGCGAUCUUUGAAUUGAAACGGCCGGCAUAAAUGCAAAUAUGAUGAUUUAGCAGCUAAUAAGAAUAUAGAGAAACUAUGGUUCGUGCAUGCAGCAACAAAUGAGUUCAAAAACCAAAGCAUGUCUCGACUUUAAUUUUGGUGCUGGCUUUUGCUGGGUCUGUUUUAUCAUUGCUGGGUAUAACCAUUACAAAACAAGGAUGGGUUUGGAAAAUACGUAUAAUCUUUUACGCCUUAGGUGUAUUUAGAUAUUUGUGGGUAUUUAGAAGAACGAAAAGAGAUCGAUGCUGUAGAGCAAGACUAGUUGUAUAACAUUAAGAAAACAUUACUAAGAAAAAAAGGAUUACACAUAGUAAACAAAAGCACGUACGUAACAUAAAUAGAUAUAGAGCAGUGGAUACCAUAGAUCUACUACAGUCUAUUCCCAGGACUCUAACCCAAAGAGACUUCCGUUAAUUCCUUCCCCUACAUCAUUGGAGAUACACUAUUAAUUAACCAUGCCCGCAAUUUGGACAACAGCAUCGGCAGCUGCAACAACAGGUGAAAGAAGAGGUAUGAGCGUUCCGACUCCGAGCACUGGAAGAAUAACAGCAGCUACUGAUGCAGCAGCUGAAAUCCAACGGAAAACCGAAACAAAAGCCCGAAACCACGACAUUGUGACUCAAGGACGACUUCAACUUUACACUCUAGAUUAGUAGACUGAUAGUGAGUCUGAAACUGUAGGAAAGGCUGUUGAAUGUAGGAGGUUUGCGCACUAUAUUUAUAGCAGGUAAUUUAGAUGGGAACCUGUGCAGCUGAGCUCUAUCGGUCUCUUCGUUUAGUGUACCUCUAAUGAACACAUUUAAUUACUUCGAUUCUUUAAAGAUUAACGGCAUGCGCGCGCAUGCGUCUUCAUGCACUGUGUUUUGGAAAUAUGAGACUUUCAUGACAUAAUUACUGCUUCUAGUUUAUUGUGAACGUCAUAAUAUUAUAUUUGUUGCCUUACCCACAGUUUUAUUUCCCAAUUUCCUCUCUUGUUUUUCCAAUUCGCCGGUGAAGAUCAAUUUGGAUUAUUUUCAGAUUUAACAAGAUUGAUUGAUAUCCCUGACGAUGUUUCUAGUUUUCUUUUCCUUUCUCUUACUGGGUUUGUUAUUACUAGCUGAUUUUUAUCGCUGAAAUAGGUUAAUCUCUACACCUCUGCAAGACUGCAACAAACCCAGCAGCACCCUGAUAAGAAUUUCUCUAUUGGGUCUCCUUCUACACCCUGAUGACAACUUUCAACAUUUAAUUUGGUUUUGAUUGAUUUCAAUCCAAAACUUGCUGCGGAUUUCAAUCCCAAUUUUUGUUCGCCUCUUUUGGUCUCAUCAGAGGACGGAGGAGGAAGUUGAUUUCGGUGGGAGAAAAUUUUUUUUCGAUGAAGAAGCCAGUUCUGGGAUUGAUUCACGAGAAAUAAAGAGAAAAUAAAGAAAAAUACUUUUUCAAAAUUAAAAAUAAGAUUAGAGUUAACAGAGUUAUUGUGGUGUUAGGCUAGCGAUGAGAUGUCAAAUUUUAGUUGGUGGCACAGGGUUUUUGGGCAGAGGUGAUGUGCUUCCCCUUAAGAACUAAUUGGAAUAAAUCUUAGCAUCUUACGAGUAGUUAAGACUCAAGAGGCCAACAAAAGGCCAUUUUGCAUUUCUUCUGGGGCUUCUUCUGAAUUUACACCCUGCUCAUAUCCUAUAGAAUGUUCAUUUUGUAACAUUUCACAGUUGUUCACAUCAUCAUAAGUAGUAGUAGUAGUAGUAGUAGUAGUAGUUUAACCUGCUUCAAAUGAUGUUAAUAUAUUAUGCUUCAUUGAUUAAUGAUGUAAUCCAACUUCUAAGAGGUGAUUCUGCAUGCUGAGGUCCUCACUAGACUCGACAGCAAAAUUUGACAGCAAACCUGCAAAAUCAACCAAACCCCAUCAAAAUGUAGUCACUACGCAGAUAGGAAGUUACAUAAAUGUAAGAAUCACUGUGCCAUUACAGAAUCAAACAACCGGGAAACCCUUACCCCCCCCCCCCCCCCCCUUUUCCUAGUCUAGAAAAGCUCAGGUUUAUCUUCCUUUUGUCUGUACAUAAGUUGUGGCUCGUCUUAAAGAUAUUGAAAUGAUCCUCUCAGUAAUGGAGGUAAUCUAGAGCAUGACUCAUAUAUGAAGACCUUAAGGUUACAAUGUCAGGCCAGUUUAUCAUACUAUACCACAGUAAUUGAAAUGCCAACUCCAUGUCUCCCAAAGGAUACAAGGUUUAACACGCAUUGUGCAAUAAAAGAAGAAUAAUGACACCAGGAAAACCCAGCGCACAACUGCACAACUGAAGUUCCAACAUACCAUUCUAUAUUAGUCUAAUAUCUAGGAGAGCUAACUCACUCAAACUUCCUUUCAAAGAGCAGGACCUCUGAUACCAAAUUGUAUUACUAGUUUACCUUAUACGAGUUCUUCCUAAAUUAUCAAGCUAAGUGGCCCGGAGAAAAGUUUUAUCCAUUUUUGAGAUAUUAAUAUACCCAUAUGAUCAAAACCUUAAGUGUGAGUACUGAAAACCCAAGGCCAUCGCCAUGUCUCCAAUAGUAUCCAGCUUUAUCAUACAUCAGAUCUUGCACUGUUCAUUGUUAGAAUGAAUAUCUUUUUCAUGUCUGAAAUUAUAGAAGAAUCAUCUCACCAGUAAAACCUAGCAAGCACAGUUGAAGUUCGUUUAUACCAUUCUAUAUUAAUCUAAUAUCCAGUAGAACUAACAAAGAAACUCAAAUGUCACAAAGAACAGUAUAUGUGCUCUAGGAAGUUGCAUUCACUAGUUUACCUAAUUCGAGUUCUUCCUAAAUGACUAAGUCAAGUGUCGCAGGAAAAAAGUUUUAUUCUUAAAUAAAACCGGUAAUUACAACACCCACAUUGAUUGUAGUUAUGGCUGGAGUUCAGAAAUUUAGUGUAUUCCUGCUCAAGCGGCAGAUGGGCAAUGCAAGUUGAAUGUGAUAUGUUCACUGCUCUGUGCAUUUCAGCUUAUGUUAUUGUUGCCCAGCAUAAAGAUCUCACCUAAUUCAAACCUUACAAGCAGAUACCUCAUCUAAUUUCUCCAACAAAAGAUUUGAAUGCCAUAAUAUCAACUAAAGAACAAUGCAGCUCCGGAUCUACUUCAAGCAUACUUAUAUUCAGCUAACACUACAACUACUCGAUGCAAGAAUAGAAAUGCCGAAAAAUACAACCAUAUUAUCAAUGUAGUGUACCUGAAGCUUGAAGCUCAUCUCAAGACAGGCUUUUGCAGAAGAGCAGUCAAGUAAACCUCCCCAUUCUUCUCAUUCUUACUCGCCGUCGCCCACUUCACUCUCCGGUACCCCAACUUCCCAAUCAACGGCCCGAAAACCUUCUCAAGAUCCACCCCCUUGCUAAAGAAAUGAUCCAACCACAAGUACCCUCCUACCCUCAACACCCUAUCCGCAUCGUACAACAAAAACUCCAACGCCGUCACCGGAAUCCACCUGUUCACCGCGUGCCCGCACCGCACCAGAUCCAACACCCCGUCAAACACGGGGAACCGCUGCUGCAGCGGCACGUGCAGCGGCACCAGCCCCCUCAGCGCCACCGCCUCGUUAUUCGGACUGCCGAAAUUCAUGGUGGUGGUGACAACUGUCACAUUGUAGAGCUUCAUCCUGGCGGCGAAGGUCCCGGUGCCGCCGCCGACGUCCAGCCCGAGGCGGAGGACGGCGCCGGCGGCCUUGGCGAUCUGGAAGAACUGCGGGAUGGGGAGGUCCAGCUCGGACUUGUAGGUCAUGAAGUUGGAGAGCUCGUGGCUGAAGUCGAAGCCGGAGCUGAGGCCACGGCGGUUGAGGCAGCUGAAGCUUUUGCAGGCGUACUUGUCCCAUAUCACAUUCUGAUCCGGGAGAGAGGGAGGGAAAGCGUCGUGGGAGAGCGAUGACGUGGGCUUCUGCGGCGUUCUGGAGAAGCAUCUCCGGCGGGGGAGGGGGUGGCAGCCGCGGAGGAUGAGGCUCUCGGCGACGUCGUCGGCGUCGGCGGGGCAGAGGGAGAAGGGAGUGUAGGUCAUGUACUUGUUGAGGAGGUCGGGGUGGUUGUGGCAGGAGGAGGCGAUCGGGGAGAGGCGGGAGUAGAGGAGGAGGUCGGCGGAGGAGGCGGCGGCGGCGCGUGGGGGAGGAGGGUGGUGGCGCGUGAGGUGGUUGAUGGUGGCGCGUAUGGUUUGGAGCUGGCGGAGGAGGUGGUCGGGGACGGCGGUGUUGGGAGGGGUGGGGGAUUGGAUGGUGGAGGAGAGGUGGUAGAGGGAGAGGAUGUUGGUGGCGACCAUGGCCAUAAGCAGAAGCAAGUUAAGACCCAUUGUGAAACCCAUCUUUGGAAAAAUUGGGUUUCAGAUUUGGAAAGAUUUGAGCUUUUUUCUUGAAGUCAGUGAGCGUUUGACUUCAUAGUGAAGUAAGCAGCUUUAUUAUUACGGUGGAAGCAGUUGCAGAGCCCAGUUGGGGUUAGAUUUGUAAUUAGGAGGAAGUUUGGGGGUGGAAACUGGGAAGAGAGAGUUGCAUCACUUGCAUGGAUUUGGAUUUUGAUUUGGUUUCGUUUGUCAUUUCGUGGGGUUAGUUGGGUCAAAAGUGUGAAAAUAAUUAGAGUGGGAUGGACUGGAGGCACGUGACUUGUUGGACCCACUUGAACCUUUUUACCUUUUUUUUUUAUUAAAUGGGAUUAUUUUUUUUCAUGCAGAAUCUAUUCCAUGAUUUUAUAUUCCUGCCUUUCUGAUUCCAUGAUUAAGAGAAGCAUUUACUGUUUUCCGGGGACGGCUGUUCUUGAGUCCGACGAUGUGUUUAACUCCGGAACUAGAAAGAUGUGUUUUAAUCCGAGUCCUGUAUCUUGUAGCGAAUCCUGGUAACCACAUAAAGCAUUAGAGUGAUUGGUUUAUUUAUGAAUAUAUGUUACAUGGAGUUUAAUUGUCUUAAUUCAUACAGAUCAAUGAAGUCACACUAAACACGUCUUUAGAUUUUCUUACCAAAAUUUUAAAAUAAAAAGACAAGCUUUUAUGAAGCAAAGAACACCAAAGUUAUGAGUGAAGGAUAAUGAAGAGAACAAAAUCACAUAGAAGUGCAAACUAAGAGUUGAUCUUAAGUUUGGCUUUCAUAUAUUAUCAUCAAAUCAAGUGAGCGUACACUAUUGCUUUACGCGAUACUGUUUUUCAGUGAGCUAUGAUAUGUUAGUAAGUUAUAAAUCCAACAUAUCAUAAGUUGGAAUAUUCUCACUCAUACAUUUAAGUUGAGUGAGUGGUUAAGAGUUUUUUGAAGUGGUAAAAAUUAGCUUCUACCCUUUAAUUACAUAAGUGAUAUAUAUAUAGUUCCAUUCAAGACUAGGACACCGUUUUGAAAAUUAAAAUAUGGUGUUCUUCAUUUCGCUCAUUUUUAGGUCAUAUUUUCACAUCUUCACCGUUCAAUGUCUAGAACAUAGUGUGUAGAUCAUUCCUGUAAAAUUUCAUCCAAUCUAGAGAUCAUUUAGGUACCGAAUUAGAUUAAAUGAAUCAACUGAACAAAAUAUGUCCAAAAUCUCCAAAUUGGAUUACCCUAAACGUUUAUUAAGACUCUGGAAACAAAACUGGAUUGUGUUCUACUACUACGUGUAUAGCAAUGGGCCGAUAUAGGGACGAUACAACCUAAAUGGAACGAAUCCAAUGAACUGGGCUUUUUCGUUCUUGUUUUUCUAUACCAAAGCUUAUAUACACUUUCUGAGUGCUGCGUGCAACAGUACAAUCUGUAUAUAAAGAUCUCAGACUCCGCGUCCGACAAACGCAAACGCAAACACAAACACAAACUCAAACUCAAACUCAGCCGGACUUAGAUCUAUCUCUACUCACAACUUGAAUCAAUGGUAAAUUCUCUCCCUCACUUUCAGUUUUCCUUUUACUUCCCACUAGAUAAUUUUGCCAUACUUUGAAUUAGGGCUAUGAAUGUUUUUAACUUUUCAUAUUCAGAUUUCCACUAAUUAUAUAAAUUAUAGCUGGGUUUUAAUCAAUCUGUACUCUUUUAUGGUCUUCAAUAUGGAUUGGGAGCUGAAAUUGAGUAGGCUGAUAGUACCCAGAAGCUUUGCGGUCUUUUAUAUAGUUGUAGUUAUCUGGGUUAGCUAUGUUAUAUUGUUAUUGGGUUUUCUACUACCAGCCACAGAAAGUAAUCAACUUUGAGGAAUUACAAUCACUAGAGUUUGUGAAACAUGGUCUGAAAGAGUUAGGUAGUUAGUUCUAUACUUCUAUCCUCCAGUUCAGGCUCAUAAGUAAUGGGUUUGGAAUUGUGCAGGAGUUGGCUCAUGUAAUGAUAAGUGAAGUUAUGAACCUUUUGCAGUCUUGUAAUGCAAUUACGGUGCUUUAGAAAGCACACAGAACUGUAUGGUUUAGUUGUCUGGUUUGUCAAGCAAUGAACCAGUUCAUGUUCUCAACCAUGCCUGGCUAGAUAUCAAAGUUAACUUUUUCAAAUUGAUCGGAUAACCAGAAGCACUGCCUUCUUUCCCUUGUUUUUCUUGUAAGUCUAUACAUGUAAAUGAAUGGAAGUCAAAGACUAUAUGUUAUUUAUAGUUGGCAUAUUAUUUCAAUUAUGUGUUUUUUUUUAGUAUGAUUGGGUUUGUUAGCUAUUUGGUUUCCCUGUCAUUGGAUGUUCGUUCUUUAACUUUAUGAAUUCCGUUAUUAGGCUGAUCCCGAACUCGAAGCAAUCAGACAGAGGAGAAUGCAGGAGCUUAUGGCUCAACAAGGCGCUGUAAGUACAACUUAGUUUAUCUGAACAUCUGUGCUACAAAAAGAGGUUGUCUUCUUGGCGCUUUUGUGCUGACCUCACUACUUUAUAUUGAUAAGCAGGGAGGAGCCCGAGGGCAGCAAAAUACUGAACAGCAGAAGGCAAAUGAUGAUGCCAAGAGGUUGGGUUUUAAAUUAACUUUGGGUGUUACUUCUUUUUCUUUUGUUCUGAUAAUGUUCUUAAUAAUCUCAUAACAUAAGGCAAAUAAAUGUAGGGAGGCAGAAGAACGGAGACAGAUGAUGCUUAGUCAGAUUUUGUCAUCUGAAGCUCGUGAAAGACGUAAGUUGAUAUCUGAAAUUGGCAGUUGAUUUUCUAAUUAGUUUUACCCUGUAUUUUCCUUUAUUAGUCAUCUAUUAAGGACAAAACUAUUUCUGAUUUAAUAUGUUUGGAACUUUGGAUCACUGUUAUUGACUAGUAAAUAUAAUGUAGAUGUCUUGGAAGGAUAUUUAGUUUUUUCAAAACUAAGAAUGACGGAGAAGAUGCUAUCUUGAUAAGUUAAUCUGUGGCAACGAUCUGUUGCAGUUCAGUCAAAUGCAUAAUAAGUGCAAUUCAUAACUUGGCUAGGGUACUUAUACAUUAUCUUAUACGUAAUGCUAUGCAUUUGUAGUUGCUCGAAUUGCUUUGGUGAAACCUGAGAAGGCAAGAGGUGUUGAAGAUGUCAUAUUGAGAGCUGCUCAAAUGGGCCAAAUAGCUGAGAAGGUAUGGUUUAUGGUUCUCACAUCCUCAUCUGUCUUAUGGUGGCCCAUAGUUUUCUAUUUUUCUCGCACCAAAGCUUUCAUAAGAGCUCAUCUAUAGAAGAAACAAAGUGCUUAGAAUUCAAUUGUCAGGUCUCCGAAGAAAGGCUUAUUUCAUUGUUGGAACAGAUCAACAACCAAACAACCAAGCAGACCAAAGUCACUGUAAGUUUCAAUUCAUGACGACCUUCAUUUGUUUCCAUUUCCAUGAUAAGCGAUUCUGAUUUGGCCUUGUGUUGCUUUCCGUUUUCCAGAUUCAGAGGCGUAGGAGUGUUCUCGAAGAUGAUGAUUGAUUUGAAUUUGUGCGUUACAGUUGAAGACUUUGGCUGUAUAUUGAAACAUAAUGCACUUUGAAACAUAAUGCACUUGUUAUUGGGUUGUGAAAUAUUUUACUGUUCUUUCUUCAAUCUUGAUAUUCGUGAUAUGCUCUAAUACAAUAUUGUAUGGGAAGAAAUUUUUCACCAAUUAUUGUUUGAAGCCUUGUGAAUUUAAUUGAAAACUGGUCACUUGGAAUGGAAUAACAUUCUAAACUGAUUACUACCGACUCUCAACGCUUGAUUCUAGAUUUCAUUUUAUAUCAAAAGGUUUACCCUUAGUUGUGUUUUUGUGGCUUAGAUUUCAUUUUAUUAGAUUUCAGUCUAACAGGGAUACAUAACCCCUGAUAUUUGGUGCACAUUCAUGUCUGCGUCUGGUUGAUUGACUCUUAUUUUUUCGUGUUUGGUGUGAGACCAAAAGUCCAAAACUUCCGACAUAUGAUUCAUUAAACCAUGUUUCCUAAGAAAUAUAUAUCAGAGGAGGUAGUUUUUAUAAAAAUACAACAAUGAUGGAGAAAAAUUGAGAGAAGUUUAACUGAAGUUGAAGACAUCAAAAGGGUUAGCAACCUAAAUACUAAAAACAAAUGAGAGAAUAUACGUCAGCCUUAAGCACCAUUUGUAAGAAAGAAUAACCGUUAGAUGACACGAUCAGAAACUGAAGGCAACCAUUUGAUUGGAUAGGACAUGACACACGAGAUUUUUAUGAGGGAAAUCUGUAAAUUAUUUCACGAGUAAAACAAAUACAGUGUAAAAGAAACUAGGUAUUACAAGACUUUGAGAGAAAUCUUGAGUGAAGAGUUGGAAUCAAAAUCUUGUGUAAAGAUUUUGAAAUUCUGAGUAGAGAUUUUGAAUCGAAGAUUUGAGUAAAUACUGGAAUUUGAUAUGAGCACAAAGUGCUAUGUUUAUAAUGUAUUUCCUACCCUAUUUAGUUAUAAUAUUCUCAUAAUGUUAUUUCUAACAUGUUUUGUGAUUGUAGAGGCAAUGAAUCGAGAAAAAAAGGCUAAAUCGCGGAAAUAAGAGAAAAAUACAGAAAAAGGCAAAUAAGCCCUUCUUGCAGUCCAAGGAAGGAAGGAGAAGUAAAUUUGGAUUCUAAUUCCAAAGAAUGAAGGAGAAGUAAGUUUGGAUAAAAGAAAAGAGAAAAGUCAAACAUGUGCACCUAGUCCCACAUUAUUUUGGAAGAAGAAAUAAAUUUGGAUUUGUCACACCCCGGUCCCGACGUCGACGGGUUUUAAGCACUAGACGUCGAUCCUGAGGCGUGAACGAGUGUUACAAAGCGAAAUGUAAACAAAAGUACUAUCUUCUAAACUCGUCGUCUACCCUUUUCCCGGCUUGGUACAACCUAAGUACUUUUUCUGCAAAAAAUAUUAGAAAUGGAUGGGUGAGCAAAACCACGCGCUCAGUGAGUAGACCAAUGUAAUAUGCCCGCAAAGCCAUGUCAUUUUACACACGCUACAAAAUACGUAUAUCGUAUACACAUCACUUCACACAAUUCAUCACAUCGCACAAUCCCUUCUUAUUGGAUAUCCUUCAAUUUAGUGAUCCCCAUGGGAACCUAAUGACCUUCAAGUCUUAUACCUCCGUGUGUCACAUCCUUACUUCGGCAUAACCAAUCAAGAAGUUCACAUGUUCCAUGACUAAUCAAACAAUGGAUCCAACACAUAAUUAUAUAUAAACACUGCAUAUUUUGCAAAUAGACAUGGUUCACUUGAAAUAGAGAGAUAUUUCGUAAAUAGAUCAAAAUCAUGUUUUUCGACUAUUGUGAUAACAAAUAAGAAUAUUUUAAAUAUAUUACACAAAUCCACUCACCUCGUCAACACGAAUCCCUACCAAGAACAUCGAUUGUAAACCGAGCCUCCUAAAAUGAGUCAUCUAGAAAUCACCGUUGGAUCUAGCUCAAAAUUCUAGGAUAGAAAGAGGACAUCGAUACGUACCCGUAGCAUCUCGCGAAUUCAGAAUCGGAGUUAUGGAUCAAAAAUUAUAAUCCGCCAAAGUUUAGUCGCAAAUCUAGAGAGAGAAACUAAUUAAAGANNNNNNNNNNNNNNNNNNNNNNNNNNNNNNNNNNNNNNNNNNNNNNNNNNNNNNNNNNNNNNNNNGAGAGAGAGAGAGAGCGUCAGAAUUGAGACUUUUUUUUUUAGAGAAUUAUUUAUUAAGACUUGAGAGAGAAAAUUGGGGAAAAAUUAAGAGAUAUAGAGAGAGCGUACGUAUGUAUUCUGUCUUUCUUUUUGUUAUUUUAUACGCGUCACACGUAUUUUUAACGUGACGCACUUCCAGCUAUAUUAUUUGCAUUUUCUAUUAUGCCCCUACUUAUUAGUAUCUUUAUAAAACAAAACAAAAAAUAUUAAUAAAGGGUAAAACUGGUAUUAUCUGAAAACUGAAAAUAACUAUCCUCAUUUCCUAUUUCAUUUUUUUCUACCAUAUGCUCUCAAAUCUAUCGCUCUGCCAUAAGUUCUUAAAUCAAUCUUUUUGCCUGAAAAUCAAAUUUAAAAAGAUUCUCAUAAACCCUAAAUCAUGUACUUAUAUAAUUGCACCCCCGAAAAAGGUUCAAAUUUAGACCUAGUCUUGAAUCUCUGUAGCCUAACUCUUUCUUUUGUCUUUGUUAAUCGACAUCAUCAUGAUUUCGAGUUCGAAAUCGAAGCCUCAAUUAAGUAACGAGGCAUUCAAUGUAAACAUUAUUAGGCUAUUAAGUAUAACAUAUCAUCUUGCUUUAAAGGAUUCCAAUCGGAAGUGGUAGAGAACAGUUUCAUUCAGCUUGUUUUCACUUCUGCUUAUUUCAUUAUGUGUUUACACACGUUACCUUCAGUUUUUAGUCAAGUACCAAAAACCAAGAGCUUUUCCUUUCCUUAGAGGAAUCAAAAGCAACCACAAAAUUAAAUAACAAUGAUAUAAAGAGCUCAUAGCAUAUGAUCCAGCUGAUAAACCAGUUGAGAUCUACAACAUGAAUUAAGAGAGCAAAAUCGUGUGACCGUAUCAACAUCGAAACAACUUAAAGUCCACUGCAGUGGCACAGAAAUCAUUUGAGAAGGGUUCUGGUUAAAUGUUCUCUUGCAACAGCCCAUGCUUGAGUUAUAGUCUGCAAAGUUUGAAAAUUAGGAAAGCAGGAUUAGAUUAGUUUCUACUUUCUACCGCAUUUUAAUUGAAAACACUUUUGAGUAUCUGAAAUCCCUAUUAGCAGUACCUAGAAGCCCCUUAAUCUAUUUGGUUUCAACUAAGCAAACGGAAAGUUUUGCAUUACCUGCUCAGCCAAUGGUGCAUCAGCAUCCAUGGUAUGAGUUGCCACCUUUCCUGCGAUAAUAGUUGGAUCUGUUUCAAGUAUCAUCCUGCAAUAUAAGUCAAGCACAUGAGAUCGAUGUAUAAUCAUAUACUCGAUGACAGAACUAAGAUCAAGAAUCUUAUUGCACACCCUCCAUCAACAAUCUCAUCAAAGCACAGAAGUAUGAGAUCUAGGUUCUCCAGUGCCUCCCUUUUAUCAACAUUGUUCCUGCAAGUAGGACAAGCAUGAAUAUAUAGCACAAAAGGUCCAAGAUAAAUAAUGUUGAAAGGUAAAAGGAGUUCAAGGAAAAUGUUAUGACGUCCAAGUCUACCUCAAGAGAAGGGCAACUGCAUCAAAGAAUCCCUGAAGGACAGUGGCUAAAAUGAGUUCGUUUUCAUCGUCACUUCCAGUCACAAAGAAGUGAAGGUCCUGCAUAAACCUAUAUACAACAACGUUGCUUUCGAACAUCAUUAUCUCCGCUGCAUAAGAUAUACAAUAGCAAAUUGUAAAUUAAGGUACUACAAAUGUGGUGAUAUAACAUGACUUCCUGUAGCAUAUCGACAACAUGACUUGAAUGAAAUCAUUGUUUUCAUACAUUCAAUCCUUGCAUUUGUCUUAAGAGUCUUAGUGAACACAGAUUUUUCAAAAACUAGCUUUGCACCAUUUGUUGGCCAAUCAUCCGAGUAAUACUUGACCGCCACACGCUUCCCUUCAGAGUCCAUAAGAAGAAUGUUCUUCACAGAUGGGCGUGAAUCCUGGAAAAUAUAUAAAGGUGGAUCAGAACAGCAUGCAUAAAGAUCACUCAAUACAAAUUCAUACGCAGUUAGCCUAUAGCUAAUGAAUUCAUACUUUCAUCCAUAAAAAUCAUAUUGUGCCAAAAGUCUGUCUAAUCUAACUAAGGUUCUAAUAAUAGAUCCUGACUAUAUCCUUGGAUCUUAAAAUCUGAUUGAACAUCAGUUACAAUUGGCCAAAUCAACAUAAUUUGUUAAUAACUUAAUACACAUCAGUUGGUGACUUCAGCCUUCAGGUAUCAAUUUUCAAGCGUAAAAAAGAUCUAUAAUUCAAACUUGAUCGUUUUGCUCGUAAUCAGAGGAACUUCAAAGAUCUAUUGACGUGAGCUCAAAAUGAUCACAUCUUAUUUCCCAAUCAAUUAUACUAAACAAAUCGAUAGAGGUAAUAUGGAUUGGAAAAUGAGACUUACACGGUAACCGAAGAUACACUCCAUUUUGAUGUAAUGAUGAUACCUGAGACUUGGACACUUCGGUUCAGAUAUAUAUACCUUUUUCUUUAGAGGAAUGGAGAUGGGUAGUUUUGUCAGUUUAUUUAACUUUCUUCUACUGCUUUCCAGGAAAAAAAAUAAUUUUGCGUCUUGAUUUAUGUUUCAAAAAAAAAAUAAUCAAAAGUACGCAGUCCUGACUGUCUGAGAUAAUACAUACAAUUAAGAUUAUUCUUCUAUUUUACAUCUUCUUUAAUCUUGAUAGAUUCAUGUAUGUACUAUAAAUUUAUAUACAAUCUUGAUAGAUUUACUCUUCUUAUACCAUAGAUUUAAAAAGGAAGAAGAAUGAUGUCAUAUGUGGUGAACGGAAAGCCUUGGUUUUUUGGACACUAUGUCUGUAAUGGCGAAUGUUUGUAUGACUGUCUGUAAUGACGAAUGUUUGUAUGACCCGGCUAGCGAGUGUACCGAUCUCAACAUUCAUUGAAUAGGUUGAGAUAUUCCGAUUACCAUGACUAGAUAUACGAUGACGAUGGAUGGUUGGGGAAACUCUUGGUUAGGUGGAGCAGUUGGAUGAGAAUGAGAUUAAAUAAGACACCAGAGCUAAGGUCAGACUGAAUGGGAUGAUCCACCCUGACACCUAUUAAGUUGUUUUGCAUGAUUCCUUUACCAUGAUUAAGAUGGUGGAUUAUACUCUUAUCGUUGCCUUUUUUUUAAUAACUUUUUUUAAUAACUGACCUCAUUAUCUCAUAUUCAUAUAUCGAUUACAUGACUUGCAGCUCUAUUGCUAAUCUAAUUUCAUGUUCCUUCAAGAUAACAAAAUAUCUUCAAUAGUCAAUACACGACAUUGCCGUGUAUCUACAACAAACGAAAAAAAUAUGAAAAACUUGACCAUCAACGACAAACGAAAAAAAUAUGAAAAACUUGACCAUAUCGUAUGGGAAGUUGCAAAUAAGAAAAAAUUUCGAUACCUCACGGUCAUGACGUAUAUAUAUUUUGACGAAGUGAUUAACCUCCCAGGUUCCAAAGUCGCGCGUGAUCGUAGCCUCCUCCUCUGAACUAGCCGAAUCUCCUGACUACACUCACAUCUCAACCUUUUCCUUUCCUUAAACUCCCACAACCUUUGUACCUCUCCAAAUCUCUUCUCCACUUUUGCUUUUUUGCUUUGUCUCUUCUCCCCACUUCCCAACCAAACCAAUCACAUUUCCUCUCUCAAAGAUCACACCUUUCCCCCUAAAGUUUCAAUCUUUCACUUUUUCCGGCGACACCCAACUCCCCGGAACCACUUUCCGGCCGACCCAGAAUGGACAAAGAGCCUCUACUCCCCUACACAUCAAGCCCACGAAGAAAGCUCCCAUCUUUAACCACCCUCUGGCCUUUGCCGGAACACGACGAAGUCCCCGUCCCCUUAACCCCGUUGGAGUUUAAAGACCGCAUCAUCUUCGGCUCCCCCGCCGCCGCCACCGCCACUUCUUCUUCGCCGCAUGACUCGUCUCCUCUGGUCGACGCCCUCACUCUCUCUCUCAAUUCUCCAAGACUCUCUUCGAGGCCCACAUCCUCGUCUUCUCUACUGGACCCCACCACCGCGCCGCAGCCGCAGGGGGACCCACAAACGCCGCUGAGCUGGCUGAUCGACCCGAACUACUCAUGGACCAAGACCAACCUCCACAGGUCCAAGACGGCUCCGGCAAUGGCGGUUUUGAACGAGGUGAACCGCCGGGCCGGGCCUAAGCCUCAGAUGAGUUCACAGUCUAUUGUGAGGCAAGCUGUGAUUCUUCUUAUUGCGUAUUUGACAUUAGGGGUGACUAUAUAUUGGUUUAACCGUGAUAAUUUCGAAGCGAGUGAGACUCACCCUGUUGUGGAUGCUCUGUAUUUUUGCAUUGUGACAAUGUGCACUAUUGGGUAUGGGGAUAUCACACCCAAGACUACGGCUACCAAGCUGUUUUCAAUAAUGUUUGUGUUGGUGGGGUUCGGGUUUAUUGAUAUAUUGCUUAGUGGGAUGGUGUCAUAUGUGCUUGAUUUGCAGGAGGGUUAUUUGCUGAGGAGUGUGAAGGGUGUGGGGGAGAAGAAGGAGUCGUAUAUUAUUGAUGUGAAGAAGGGGAGGAUGAGGAUUCGGAUGAAGGUGGGACUGGCAUUGGGGGUUGUGGUGCUUUGUAUUGGUGUUGGUGCUAUGGUGAUGCAUUAUGUGGAGAAGUUAGGAUGGUUGGAUUCGUUUUAUCUCUCGGUUAUGUCUGUAACGACUGUGGGGUAUGGUGACCGGGCUUUUCAGUCUGUGCAGGGUCGGUUGUUUGCUUCAGUUUGGUUGCUUGUGUCCACACUCACGGUUGCUAGAGCCUUUUUGUAUUUGGCUGAGGCAAGGGUGGAUAAACGGCAUAGGAGGAUGGCAAAGUGGGUUCUUGGCCAGGAUAUGACUGUUUCCGAGUUCCUUGCUGCUGACAUUGACAAUAAUGGGUUUGUGAGGUAUGUGUUUUUACCAAACCUUUUGACAUUUUGAUCAGAUGAGUUGUUUGAGAUUGUUGGCUUUGUUUAAUUGACCUACAAUGAUGAUGGUGUAAAAGUUAUUUACUUCAUAGAUUGCAUUGUUUUGCUCUGAAUUCUUUAUGUGCUGUUUAGUUGUACUGCAUUUACCCAUUACUUUAGGUUUUGUAUGAAAGAAACAUGAAUACAUGUUAAGCAACUUGUAAUACAUUUUCUGCUUUGUUAGAAACACAGAUGAUCACUCCUUUCUCUAGUUAUCAAGUAUGAGAUUGAGUGAAGAGCCCUUUUUGUAAUAUAACUGCCCAGAAUUAGAUAGUUUAUUUUACAUUUUCCAACUUCUAUAAGUUCAACUUUGUGGUUUGUACUCAUAUGAUGCCGAAUAAGACAUCAGUUAUUAGAUUGUGUUCAAAGUGUUUCAGGGUUGGUGUGUCUUCUCAUUUCUUGGUACGUGUAUGUGUGAUAUGAAGGAGACCAAUGAAGUCAUUAAGGUGGAAUAAAACAGAUAAGAAUCAUAAGAUACUUUAGGUGAGUCUUUAUCAUAGCAUCCCCAUAAGCACAAUAGUCGCUUCUUUGGGAUUUGAGCAAGUCUUAAUAACAUAAUGCCACCACAAGUGAUACAAUACGUAUAGGACUCUGAGCACGAAAUUCAUCAUAGUGAAAUUUGAUUAGGGUGUCUCUGAUAAGAAUUGGCUAUAUGUUUUUCUCUUAUAAAUGAUACACAUUUGAUAGUGGGUAUCAACUCCGGAUGCGUAUGCUUUGGUAUCUUUCUGCCCUUUUGAGUUUGAUGUCAGGUUGGUAAUGGGCAUAGUCUAGUAAUGUUCAGUUUUGCUUGUGUAUUGAACAUCAGAGUCUGUACGUUCUCCACUUUGAGAAAAUUGUUUGGUUUCUCAUGUGAAGAGAAACAUUGUGGACAAGUCUGCAAAUAAUUUUGGAUGCCACAAAGUCAGGGCCUUGUGUCUAAGUCCAACUGAUCUGGGACAUAUGAACACUUGGUAGCAUAUGAAAUCUAUCAUUGCCAUUAUUGCAUAAUAGGCCCUGAGAACAGAGUAUAUGAUCUGAAUUGCAUCUUUACUUCAGAGCUGUCUUUUGCCCACCUUUUCAACUAAAGAACAUAUCUACGAACCUCCUGCCCUUUCUUGUGUUUGGAACUCAUGUUGCACAUAUCUCUCGUGUUCUUUAUGGACAAAAUGAUUACUCCUGCUCUUCUUUUUUGCAAUGUAAGCACUACUACUUUCCUGAUUCUUUUCCUCUAUUUAGAGGCUCCAAAGACAAAUUCAGUCAAUGAACUUAUUCUGUACAUGGUUGGCUCUUAGUAGAUGUGGCCAAAGGUCAAAUACAAAUUGUGAAGCCUUAUUGAACAUCCAGCACUGCCAACUUGGGUGUAUAGGCUAGAACUACUAUUGUAUUGCGCCUUUCUUCUUCUCCUAAUUAGUAGUUACUCAUAUUAUUUUGCAUGUUCUUGAGCUCAGUAAUCUGAUUUGGUGUUUUAUAUGAAGUACCUAUUAUAACAAUAGUUUGGAUGACAGGUUGAAAGAGGUACCAACUUACUAUUUUUCUGAAACCAGAGUUCUUAUUUGACUGCCCAACUUCAUAAACUUUUGAACCAUCAUACGUGAGUAGUUUAUGUGCGUUUCAGAUAUUAUAAUGUAAAAGUGAAGCUUGUUGGUUGCUAUUAACCAAUAGUUGAAGAGUCUUUUUCAGUCUGAAUAGUGUAUCUGAAUAAUCUGGAGUCAACAGAUUGCAGAAGAUGGGGAUUAUUUUCAGAUAACAUGCAUAUAAUCUGCUUCUUUGAACAUGCCUUAAUACGUUUUAACAUUUCCAUUAUCUGUCUAUACCAUUAUUUUCUACAGAAGUAUUCCAUACAUAUUGGAAUGCAAAGGUUUUGCUUUAGAUUUCUUGCGCAUAAAUGUGACAUAUUUUUUUUUAACUAAGAUCUAUAUGGAAUGUCUAUAUUGGUAAACUGUCUAUGAGUUGCAACUAAUAUAUUGAUCAUUUAUAGUUAUUAUUUGUGUAUGCUCUUAGCAGUCAACCUUUUGCCAUUAGUGACCAUGAUGUAUUCUAGAAAACUGGAGAUGAACCCUGCUUAUGAUAUUCUCAGUGCUACCGUACUAGGCAAUAACGUGGUUUCAACCAUUGUUUUCUUGUUGUCAUGAUUUAGUUAUGUUAUCUAGCACACCAUGAUAGCUUAACAUGGUGUGCUAGUUUCCUUGGCUGACUUUAUUUGUGUGUAUAUAUAAAUAAAUAAAUAAUUAAAUAAAUCUACGUCUUGUUGGACUGUCUUUGCUUUGUCUUCAGCACCUUAAAUUAUUUGCUUGCUUAUUUUGACUUGCAGUGAUCCGCAACUAGGCAAGUUUUUGUUGGCUAAUGAUGUUGUUCACUUGUUUGUAUAUGCAGCAAGUCAGAAUAUGUGAUAUACAAACUCAAGGAGAUGGGAAAGGUAUCAGAGAAAGAUAUUAUGCAGAUCUCCAACAAAUUUGAUAGGUUAGACUCUGGGAACUGCGGAAAGAUAACGCUUGCCGAUCUUAUGAGUCGUCAUUGAUAUCCAAGCACCUUUUAUUCCUUUUCCUCAUGGUACAGCAAGGGAAGAAAAUACGUUAUCUCAUUGAACAUGACGUAUAAGAAGCCUGAUCUUUAUGUAGGACUCGCCGUUCAUAUACAAGUUGCAUACACAUGAAAUCAUGAAGUAUGAACUCUGCUGCCUGAUCAAUUGGUCCUCCUUUCUAUACAUCCUGAGCAUCAGCUUGGUCGUUCUUAUAUGAUCAGCUACAUCGAUGCAUUUCUUGAGUAAUACAAACAAGCUAACAACAAAGGUUAUUGCAUAUUCCAGAAUUGCUCAAGUGACGGGAGAAGUGAAACAGAAAAUUGAAAUCACUUUUUUGAGUCUAGACAGAAAAUAACUGUUGACAUAGACUGGCUGUCCUUGUUUUUCUUGGAGAAUUUUGAAGAUUAAUAGCUUAGAAAUCAACAGUAUGUUACUUUUGAUUAGAGUUGAGCCUGUCCUUCUGGCUUCCAAUUGUAAAUGAUUGCAGCUUUGGAUCAAUGAAGGUGAGGCCUUGAAUCAGCACUACUAACAAACCACAAGAUUUGUUUUUAAGUUGGUUGAAUAGCUUGAGAAGGGUGAAACAAUUUUACAAAUUGGAAAUUAUCGCAGUGUGUGACUGUUUGAUUUGGAUAUGGGUUCCUGAAGUCUCCUCUAUCUUUUGGUUUAUUGGUGGGGGAGAAAAUGAAAUGCACUCAUCAUAUUUGAUCAUAAUGAACCCAAAAGGUGCGAGUGUGUAACUACCUCAACUCCUGGUUUACCACUUUCUGUCCCUACUGUCUCAUAUGUUUGGUAUGACAGAAACCCUAAUCUUAUAGUAGAAGAAGAUGAAAGGUAGUCAGCCUUGGUGACCAUGUUGGUAUCAAAAGCUUGAUGAUCAAACCAAUGCCAUUCAUAAUCUAUUGCGACUUUUAUGGUAAAAUUGAAUUGAAAGUAGACUAACUACCUAUAUAUAUUGCUUUAUUCUUGUCCUCUACAAAAGUUCCUUUCAGAAGUGUUGAACAGGACCUUUGUUGUUACUAGAAGAACCUUUCCUUGAAGCUUUCUAUAGCAAUGCACAGAAAGCUAGUUCAUACCUCUAAUAGAGUAAUAACAAGACGAACAAUUAGACUGUCUAUUGGAUUCUAAUGAUGAAGUAGACUCUCCUCAGUGUUCUUGAUCUUGAUCUUGACUGGGAAGCAAAGACUGUGUCCUUUGAAUUCAUAGCGUUUACCCAUAAAGGAGAACAAAAACUUGAAAGAAUGCAAACUAAACUAAAAUAUACCAAGUCAGAUUGACUCACUGCCACUCAUGACAAGCAGAUGACUCCAUCAAAGAAGCAAUAAGUUUCUGAUUUGGUAAAUAAAGGUCAUUUGCUUCAUUUUUUAUUCACCAGUUAGUGAAAUGGUGG
RNAcentral lists this long non-coding RNA (43102 nucleotides) under Fragaria vesca (wild strawberry). RNAcentral's name for it is "long non-coding RNA (FVES_LNC001167)". The record is from RNAcentral. Lineage: Eukaryota; Viridiplantae; Streptophyta; Magnoliopsida; Rosales; Rosaceae.